GUUGCAUUCAAAUAACAAAAAAAUAUAGUCUUGUACUGUCAGUUUUUUCUCCAUUUUUUCUAAACCUGGAAAACAGCAGGGGAAGGCCCCACUGUUAGAUUUUCUAUAUUUAGAUUGGUCAGGUACAAACAUUAGAUUCUAGACAUAAGCUUUUUCAUGCCUGAUGAAAUUGAGGUAAAGGUAAUUCCUACAUGAUGCAUGUCCAACACUGAUAACAUUUAUCAGUUAGAAUUAUGCUUUCAAGAGUUUCAUAUAAAAUCUGCUAGUAGCAUUCAUUGGCCAUUAAAUUGCAAUUUUUGUAGCUACAUUUGCACAAGAUUGCAAUAGAAAAAGGUAGAAAUCACAUUUAGACUGCCUAUCUGAGUUCUAGCUCUUCUCUCCUCCUGCUCCAAGUCCACAGUGUAAAACAAGACUUACUUCAAAGUUGGGAGACAUCUAAUGAGUUACAAGAUACUCCCAUUAACUAAAAGCAAAAGCUAAGAAACCAUUCAAUCCAUGUUCAACCUUCACGCAAGACAUCAACCAGAUUUCCAUAUGAAAUAAAAAACAUAUCAUAAGCACUGAAAUAGUCGCAUACUUCUACAACUUGAAAAAAAGAGAGCAACAACUAGGGAAACAGAAACCUACCGAUACAAACAAGUAGAGCUGCUACUGGAGCAUGUUCAAAUGCCUUCACAAGGUGUCCAGCUACACGUGGAGCAGCUGCAAUUAAAAUAUGGUGAGGUUAUACAUGUGCAUAUAUUACAGCUCAAAUAUAUCUCUUAAAUACCUACAGUGGCUGAGGAUGAAAUGAAAAUACACUACAAAAUAACCACCCCUCUUGCAAUGCAUAUAUACGUUGCUAAAGGUACAUGUAUGUAUUGGUAAGGUCUAUAAGGAAAUGGUACACUAAAUACUAGGAAACCUGCACAGAGAUAUGAAAACCGGGAGAGAACCAUUAGAAUGCUACAAAGUUAAAUUCUGACCUACUAGUAGGGUUUCCGUACUCUUGAUAUACUCAAAUUUCUAAAAACAUUAUCUCCCAAAACAAAUCUGCAAUAACAACAAAAAAACAAAAGAGAAAUGGGUGCA
Molecule: long non-coding RNA, 1071 nt
Filed under: Sorghum bicolor (sorghum)
Lineage: Eukaryota; Viridiplantae; Streptophyta; Magnoliopsida; Poales; Poaceae
Description: long non-coding RNA (SBIC_LNC002528)
Source: RNAcentral